UACGUAGGGGGCAAGCGUUGUCCGGAAUCAUUGGGCGUAAAGCGCGUGUAGGCGGCCCGGUAAGUCCGCUGUGAAAGUCGGGGGCUCAACCCUCGGAUGCCGGUGGAUACUGUCGGGCUCGAGUACGGAAGAGGCGAGUGGAAUUCCUGGUGUAGCGGUGAAAUGCGCAGAUAUCAGGAGGAACACCAAUUGCGAAGGCAGCUCGCUGGGACGUAACUGACGCUGAGACGCGAAAGCGUGGGGAGCAAACAGG
RNAcentral lists this ribosomal RNA (253 nucleotides) under uncultured bacterium. RNAcentral describes it as "partial 16S ribosomal RNA". It matches the Rfam family "Bacterial small subunit ribosomal RNA", at positions 524 to 776 of the family's 1533-position model. The record is from RNAcentral.